Molecule: ribosomal RNA, 253 nt
Filed under: uncultured archaeon
Lineage: Archaea
Description: partial 16S ribosomal RNA
Rfam family: Archaeal small subunit ribosomal RNA
Source: RNAcentral
CCCCAGCACCACAAGUGGGGCUCGUAUUUAUUUGGCCUAAAGCGCUCGUAGCCGGUCAUGUAAAUCUCUUGUGAAAUCGUUGCGCUUAACGUAACGGCGUGCAGGAGAAACUGCAUGACUAGGGACCGGGAGGCGUAGAGGGUAUUCCUUGGGGAGCAGUAAAAUGCUAUAAUCCAUGGAAGACCACCUGUGGCGAAGGCGCUCUACGAGAACAGGUUCGACGGUGAGGGGCGAAAGCUAGGGGAGCGAUCCG